CGGGUCAUUCUGUGAUCUGUGUGAUUCUGUGACAUGACUUGGUUUUGCUUAGGAUUGAUUUUAAAAUAGCUGAGCAAAGCUGAGGUUGCACAGCGCUUAGUUUCAGAGCAGAUUAUCCCUUUGUUUUCUUUUACAUACAGCAAACCGCCCCUCAAUGAACCAGCAUCAUCCAAAUCACUAACAGAACCGGUCCCAGCUUACAGUGUUUAUGGGCUUCUGGAAUGGGGCAUGUUUGCAUGGGAGCCACUUGAGCAACCACCAUGAUCCUGCUCUGAUACAUGGGCUGUUUUGUGCAGUCUGCAGGAACCACUGCAGACCUCCUUGUAUCAAAAGAGGCUAUUGGGAGUACUUGCAGUUCUGAUUGUGUCACCUUCUAGGUUAUAAAUAAAUAAAUCAUUUGCCUUCCUUGAGUUCAAACCAUAAUCCAUUCCUACAAUGGCCAGGUCCCAUCACACAAAACAAGGCUUCUCUCUAAGUUUUGAAUAGACGUGGAUCUUUUUCUUCCUUUCCCCAUGCCAGUUUUCAAGUCUUGUCUGGAACUGAUGGCCCUUUUCACAAAAGUUUUUGCCGUAGACCUCAAUACAUAUAAAUGAAGCAAUGAUGGCACCACACAGAGAAGAUAAUCAAUGUCACUUUUCAGAUUAACAGUGAGAAAGAUACGUGUCUGCAAAGAGCAAGACUCAAAGGCUCUUUUUUCCCUCCCUGAGUGGGUGUCUGAUUAGAGCAGCUUAUCCCAUAUUAAGGCUGACACAGGACCAAAGACUUUGUGUGUAGCUCAGGGUUCCCAGGUUGUGCAAGCUGCCCAAGCAUGACAUCCCCUUUGAAAUCAUUAGAUGUUCUGCACCCAGCUGUGCUGGUUAUGUGACGGAAUCACAUAUGAGGUUUGGCACGUGUCAGGAAAAAUGCUCUCAUAGAGCUCUUAUAAAGCAGAAGUCUGUUUGCUGCACCGCUGUUGAAAGGUGCAGGCCAUGUGCUGUGAGAUGAAUGGAAGACAUUUGUAAUGGAAUACAUCUGUAAUCUUCACAAAGUACCUGACGAGGUCAGUGUGUGUGCAGAAGGCCGUGCUGCUCAGUCCAUUCACAUCUGCUUGAACAGAUAGAUCCCCUGUCAGUUAAUUUGGGUGAGCUCUGAGGGUGCAGGCUACCCACACAACUUGCAAUCCUGCAUGAAACUGAUUGUUUUUGACAUUCAUACUUCCUCUCUAGAUUAAGGUUUUGCAGCUCUGACCUACAUUCAUUGAGCCUGCAGCUACAGCCCUUAAUCAUCACAUAUUUGGUACUACACCUCAGCCGGUAGCUUUCAGCCCCACAGCUAAGCAGGGCAGAGCUGCCAGAGCUCAUGUACCUUGCUACAUGGAUAGUUUCAUCUUGGCUUCAAGCUAAGGAGUCAGACUGUGAUGUGGGGUUACCAAGGAGCCAGCAUGUGGGACUGUGCUGCAAGUACCAAAGAGGAAAGGAUGGCUGGGUAACCUCCUUCUCAGCCAUCUCCAGGGAUUUACACUGCGUGGUUUAUGAGAAAGUACUUCCUUUUUUUCUAUAUGCACUUCCCACCUACCAAUCUGCUGAAUAUCCCCUUGUUCUGCAAAGGAGGAAAACAAGAAGCCCCUGAUCUCUCUUCUCCACAUCAUUUCUCAUUGCCCACUGUCACCUUCAGGACCUCUCCUACUUUUCUGCUUUGCAGAGCAUGCAGUCUCGCUCCUUCAAAUCUCUCUUUGGUUGGGAAAGUUUCACAUUUGUUGUGUUUAAGAACUUCCCCAAGGCCUUGUGAUGAUACCAUCUGUGAAAUCCAUCGAGCAGUGAAUACACAGUAUUAUUCCUGGGUCUGCCUAAUGCCUGGUUGCUUGAAAUGUCUUAAAAUCUGCUCUUUUUCUGUCUUUCAUCCCACUCUUUAAACUUCCUAAUGUCUCGUCGAUGUUUCUGAUUGCCUGUUUAGCUCUGCAUUGCCACCUGGGUCACUUCAUGAAACCGAGGCGGUUAAUUUAGAGCCCUUAAGGUGCUUGAAAUGCUCCCAUUACGCCUCCAGCCUGGAUGACUUUACAUUUACUGACACUGAAUUUAAUUUCUGUUCAUCUAACUAGUUCAUGUCUCCAAAGAUAAUAGCAAAGAAUUCCUCGAGGGCACUUUACCAGGAGAAGUGUGGCUUCAUGUUCAUUACCAACCAACCUGUGUAAUGACGAAGAUGUCCUAAGGAAACGUCUAUGCAGACUUUGCUUGGAGUGCCAAGGCGUAUUUCUGCUGCUGGAAGAUGCUGUUGAGCCAAGUGAUAAGACGUCUCUGCACAUAACCUAAUGAGGUCAGCUACACAAAACAGUGCUUGGGGGAUCUGUGUGACAAACGAUAAAAGCACAGCUCCCUCUUCUGCCAUCAAACUCCUUUCUGGUAAUGAAAAGAGCAGAGCAGCCAGGGCUGCUUGCUCUAGGAGUGAUCCUGACAUGUGUUUCCCCAGAUAGUUCAGAGCCACUGCUGAGGAGAAUUUGUAUUGGUUCUGUUGCUGCAUCAUCUCACGUGUUUGCAUGUGCGUACAGGUGCUGUCUGAUUGGGCUCUGGAGCAAGAGUGGGAAUCUACCAAUUGUUUAAUAUGUUAUUUUAAGAGGCUGUGAGGUUUUUGUUUGUUUUGUUUUUUAAUGGGGCAAAAUACUUUUCCUUCCUCCUUUCUACCUUUAAGGAAGGGUAAGACAGACCAUUAAGGAGUCUUCUGCAUCUCUCACAUGAGAUGGAGAUGUGGUGACUUACAUAAAACAAGUUACGAGCCAAUUGUUAUGAAACUCCAAAGUUUAAAUCACUGUGAAAUAAGAAAUAGAGAAAGCCCAUUUCAGGCCAGGUAGCUCAUAUCCGAGCUGCUUCCUUCUGUCCAAGCAUCUCUCCAUGUUGAGGUUCAGCAGGAAAUGAAGGCUUGCUGCGAAUCCACUGUCUGCUCACAGACCUGAAAUCAUCAGCUGGAGUCACAGCUCACACAGCGAUCCUAGGAAAACAUUGUUACAGACAAAUGUGCUUCUCUUUUAUUCUAUGGAUUUAUGUGUGUUUGUUUUGAAUGUGACUCACUGAUCUGCUGUACGCUUUGGGAUAUCACUAUCUACUUCUCUCUGUGGAGUGGGGCUGAUGCCAGCCCACCUGUGCCACAAGGCCGUACAGACAGACACAAGGGAGGGUAUGAAACUAGGCGACUGUUUUCACAUCCAGGGCAACUGGCUUGAAUCCCGUGUUUCCAGCUGCUGAAUGCUUUCCACCAUGGGAUUCUUGUGGGUUUUUGUGAAGAGCUCUUGCACCUUCUGCCUCUCCACCACUCGGCAAGGAGCAGGGCUGGAUGCUGGACAGCCACUAACAGCCUUGCCAGGGAAACCUGCUCCUGUCUGGCCAAAGCUGUAAAGGGUUUGAAGUAUGGACUUGAACUCCUCAGGAAAACUUCUGCUACACCCAAAGCAAUAGCUGAACACAAGCAUCCCGUGCCCAGACCGGGCUUACUGUGGGAACGGCUGGAUGUAGCCAGGGAAAGAAGGCGGCUCAGAGAGCGGCUGCAGUGGGAGGCAAGGACAGCCAAGCUAAACAAUGUCCGUCUGCUUCCACAUCCUCCUGCUCCUCCUCAGGAACACGACGGGGAGCAGCUGCCCUCCCACGUGAGCUGGGCUCAAGGUGCCCUGUUCAGAUUCUCACUAUCCAAGGGCCAGUGACCCCUGCUAUGCCCAGCCUCUGCUGGCAUCAAGCCUUUGGGCUUCAGCUCUCCCCUGUGCUGCUCAAGUGCUCCUGGCUGGGUGCACUCUCACUUUCUUACUUGAACCCUGUGAAUUUGCAUACAGAAAGCCCCAUUAACCCUGAUCAAGUGACAUUCAUGUUGUGGUGUUAAGUGGCCAGAAGCAGAGAAGGUCAAGUUGUGAACUGAACACGUUUCCCUUCUAAAACUGAAACAAUUGGUGCUGUCACGGGAAUUUCUCAGGGGCAUGUUCAUAAUAAUUGCACAGCUUUUCUUGAUGGUUUUUCACCAAUACGUUACAAUUGAAUUUCUGCAAUGGCAGGAAGCUUGGUAAAAGUAAAAUGCCAUACCCUUUAAAAAUAUGUAUAUUUUUUUACAUAAGGUAUUGAGCCUUAUAUACAGAUGCAUUAAUUCACCGUUACUGUUUGAAAUGUAUUUGAUUUAAGCUACUAAUUAUAUUAGCUAUUAGAUAAUAAUUGUAAUAGAGCUGCAAGAGUCCUCAUUCCCUGCAUGGUCCGAGCUACCAACUCCUCAAUAAGGACUGGGUCGUUGCUAGCUAAUGACCCUCAAAUAGUUCCCGACUUAGUGAGGCACAAUCAGUGCUUACAUGGCUUAUUGCUUUAUAUGCUGGGCUACUUGACCCUCUACAGUUACUGCUCUAACUGGGUUAGGAGGUUGCAUUUCAGCAGACAGAGAAGUGAGAAACUGGGGAAACCCCAAGUAGAAAUAUAUUCAUGGCAAGAGCUGCUUUUGUGCAUGCACACACAUUUCAUAGGCCUCAGUCAGGUGGGAAAUUCAGAGGUCCCAGUGUGAAAGCUCAGAAGUAUCAGUAUGCAAAUGUGGGAGCUCUCAUACGUGGGCUCCCUGUUCCCAGCAUCAAAAUGACAGUGCCAUACCACAAAUAUGGCACAUUAUGGUGUGCAGCACUGAGCCAUUUCAGCCACUGAACCUGCGGGUUGUUUCAUUAGUGGGGUAUGGGGAUGGCUACGUGCAGGUACAUACACAUAGAGAUAGCCAAGGAGGGAAACAAAACAGAGGAUGUAGAAAAAGAGAUUCAGCAGCAGCAGCAAGGAGGAGAUGGGCUGGUCUUCUUUUUUUAAGGCCUUGAGAAGUUAAUUUUCACUUCAUACCCAUCAGGUGUGGGGCUUCUGAGCAGCAACCCAGCAGCUUGCAGGCUCCAGCUGCAGGAUAAAGGUCUUGUGGAUGCUUUGGGGUAUUCUACCACAUGCUGGGGACUUGUGUGGAUGAGCACGUGGAGGUGACUGUGCCAGCAGGCUGAUGGCUGAGCAUUUGGGUCCAGAAACAGCAAUGGAAAGUGAGAGGAGAGAGAGAGCAGGAGGUACUUGGCCAAGGAGGGCGAGGCAGGAAGGCCCAGGCAGGCUGAGGGAAGAGGAGGAGGCUUUUGGGUACGUGAAGGUGUGGUGAGAAACUUGCAUCGUGUUUCAGAAAGCAAAACGUACUGUCCACAAACCUGACUGAGAACAAAUUCUGGAGAUCAUUUUAAAAAUCAUAUAGAGCAAUUGAGAGCAAAGCUGUACUUAAUUUGGUUAUAAUCCUUUGCAUUGAGAUGUAUUUCAACUGAACUUAAGACUUCUGAGUGCCAUUCAGAGAAGAAACCUGAUAACUUUUGGCAGAGGGAAGGACUGCCUUGUUAGAAUUAAAUUCUCUCAGCUGGCAUGUUUAUCACUUAGAGAUCAAUGCAAACCAGAGGAUAAAUAAAAGCAGAUUUUGAAAGUGAACAGGCAGAUGUUCAGGCACCAAAAGUCUGUUCUGGGCUGGGGAGGAGAGCGUUCCUUUUGUUUUUCUGCCUUGAAGAAAAUGGAAUUGAAAUGUAUUUAAUUGACAGGUUGGUAUCUUGUUUGCAGACCUGGUAAAUCAGUGGACAGCAUAGCAGAGGUCUUGCAUCUGCUGCCCCUCAAGACCUAUGAAUUUGCCUCGCUAAAUGCAGGCACCAAAACUGAGUUUAUCUUCCAAGGUGGUGUUCUUUAACAGGAAGCACGUGGUCCAGUUCUUAACAGGACUUGGAUGGGGCUGAACAGCACAGUGAUGGUUUUAUAAAAGAAACUGUAUUUUCCCAUGGAGACUUGGUAUUUCAAAGGAAAAGAGAGCCAGGAGUGUGUUUGUUUCUCAUGACAGACUGACAAACUCUCUGUCUUCCCUGAUCUUGGUUUGGAACUGCUUCUUCCUUCCCUCUGCCAUCUCCUGCUCUCAUGCUCAGCCACACCAGCCCCACCCCACCAAAAUAGUCAAGCUGGCAUCCCCAUAAGUGCUGCUGUCUCCGCUUUCUGGAAAAGCCCAUGAAAUGAACAUGACCAGGUUUUAUCCAAAUGCUUCUUUUCUUACUGAAGAAGGUCGGCGUGAGGCUGUUCUCCUACCUUGUCUCACUGGCUACCUCAAAGCACCUUGUGUUGUUAUGAUGCUGAUAAAAGGAAAUGAGGAGUGCUAAGCCUCCAGGACGCUGAGAUCUGGACAUCUGGCGCUGAUGAAUAUCUCUUCAUUGCCUCUGUGCCUUUCCCCAUUGACUGACCACUGUGUCUGGCCUUACACUGUGAGCUGCAUGCAAGCCGUCCUUUUAUCCUGUUUGUCCUGAGUAUAAUGGAACCUGCAUCCUCGCUUGAGAUCUCAAAGGCUUUCUGUAAUUAAACACUUAAGGUGUUUUCCAGAGAUGGGGUUUGGAUUUUGGGUGGUCCUGUGUGGAGCUGGGAGCUGGACUUGGUGAUCCUUGUGGGUCCCUUCCAACUGAGGAUAUUCUGUGAUUCUAUAGGCCCUGAUCAAUGCCUUGGUCACUGCACAAAUACAGAGGAAGGAUCAGUCACAGACAGGUGAGUUUAUCUCCAAAACACAUGGUUCAGGUGUAGGGUGGAACGAAAGGAAGCUCUUGAAUGGAGACCUCUGGCAAAUGCAUUAGUCCAUACCAGUCUUGAGCCAGCCAGCUCUGGAAGCAGCAUCACUGCCCAUCUUGGAAGCAGUGCCGGCCUCAUCCAUUGUUGUCCUUUCGGCAGCCUGGCUUCUAUAGAUGAUGUCUUCUCUUGCAGCAGGUAGAUCUUAGCACCUCUGGGGAGGGGUUACCGAGCAAACUUGUUUGGCCAACAUUGCAGGAGCAGAAAGGUUAUAGUGACAGGAGGCAAUGGAGGCCCCUGGGACUUGCAAAAACUGGUCACUGCUGUGUGUAGAUGUGCACUGAAUUGCACCCUGGGGGAUCAGCCUUCUUCAAACACAGGUCUGGGCACUCCUCAGUACCAAAAUGGGCCUCUUACAGUCAACUGGCAUGUCUGUUCUCUAGCCCACUUCAGGGCUAAUCUUAAGUUCCACUGAGACUGAAACUGGAGGGACCAAGAUAUCUGGCAUGAGUCACAGCAAGGAAACAUCAUCUGGGCUAAGCGAAGAUUUAUUAAAGGAAUGCCUUUCAAAGACCAUCAAAAGGCGUCACAUUGGUAUGUAAUGGUAAGUAUUUAAGGAGUAAGAGAAGCUACGUACCAAAUGAAAUAAAGGGGAGAAAAAGGGAUAGUCAGUAAACCUGGGAUUAGCUUAAUUGAGAGGAAGAUGCUAAGAGUGCUUAAGACCAUUAGUUAUUAAAGCAUUUGACCAAUCCUUCUUUAGCCAGGCUUUCCACACUGGGCGGGGGGAACCAACCAAAAAACCCAUUGUUCUUCUUUGAAAUACUGAUUGCUCAUUCAAUAUAUUCUAGAGAAAGCAAGGAUGACUAGCCUAUUAUUUUCAAGAGUUAGUAGAUGAUUGUGUGGAUGAUAAUUAUAUCCUGUUAGAAACAUCCCUUGAGGUAGGGAUGGAAUAGAGGCAGGGUGAAAUGGCAUAAAUUUAUGGCCCUUCACUUGUCUUCAAUUAUUAAGGAUAGUCUGUAACUGAGGAUAAAGGAAAUGAGUGAGGCUUUGGGCUUUGACCACUUGAAAUGUCUCUUUCUGCUAAGCAAAGUACAAGAUGGACUUGAUGAUCCUCGUGGGUCUCUUCCAACUUGGGAUAUUCUAUGAUGAGUGAUUCUAUAGUUCUGUGUUGGAGCACCUUUGCUUAACUGGAAUGAGAAUGUGUCUUUAUAAGAAAAAAAAGAAACAGCUGGCCUCAAAAUUGGACAACACUACCACAAAACCAAACCACCCAACCAGGAAAGGAAAAGUGGAAGUUAGUGGCACUCUAGGGGCUAAGGCUGAGUACUGUCUGAGCUGAGGAUGGUACUGGUGAUGCACUCAGCAUUUUUUUAUACAACAAUUUCCCACUUCAGGUUUGCUUGACUUUCUUGAUUUUGGUAAUGAUUUUUGUGCUGCUUUCCCUCAAAUAUCCCAGAUUGUAAGCCAUCCCACUCAUGUGCCGUGAAGUCCUAAUAAAUAUAUAUCAGACUUAAAAAGCUUACACAAGCGUCGUUAUUUCAGUGCAACCUACUCAUCCUUCAGAAUUAGAAAAUGAGAAGCAUCUCCAGCAUGAAACAUCUACUCAUCAAGAGAUUUCCAAUUCUUUGUUCUGUUUUUCAAGAGGAUUGCCAAAUGGAGAAGUUAGUAGCGUGGAUUUACACCUGAGCUGAAUACUGGAUGUCCCCAGAGAGCAAGUGUGAAAGAAUUCAAGGACUGAUCAUUUGAACUACGAACUUCUCAACAUAAACACGUACAUUGCAGGAGACAGUGUGAAAGUGUGCAGAGCUGGAGUCAAGUGAGCAAUAACAACUGACUACCCCAUGCCUCAAGUAAUACUGUGAAAUGGUGGCAGCUCUCAGCCUGGAGGAAGAUCUCUCAUCUCAUUGUACAGCUUGGCUUGCUGGCUAAAACCUGCAAAGUGCCAGUGUUGAGAAAUCAGCUCUGGCGGUUGCAGGAGCCGUUCUCUUCUUGAGGCCUCCCAUGGGACGUAAGCCACACGUGGCAGGAGAGGGGUUUCCCUGGCUGUAGCUAAGAUGCUCAGGCUGUGUAGAAUGCCAUGCUCUGAGCACUGACAGCGACUGUUUUGCACAGUGAUGGUGAGAGCUAUGUGUCUAAUUUGGGCAGCAGCAGAUGGGACUCCUAAGACAGCAAGAGACUGGCACUACCAGCAGAGGGAAGGGAUAAUGUGUUCCUUCUGCAGCAGAAAUCUCACAAAUGACUCAUGACUCUUCUGCAGCUCAUGCUGGCAUCAAUUGGUCUUUCUAACCGUGACUACACAUUUUAAAGGUCAAGAUAUAAUGCUUCUUUUCCAAGAACCUUUGAGUUCAUACUGAUGAGGGUUUUGUUCUGAAGGACACAGAAG
Coturnix japonica (Japanese quail) is the source of this 8910-nucleotide long non-coding RNA. RefSeq lists it as uncharacterized. The record is from RefSeq and is a predicted model, not a curated record. NCBI's taxonomy places the organism in Eukaryota, Metazoa, Chordata, Aves, Galliformes, Phasianidae.